GUGUCAGCCGCCGCGGUAAGACGGAGGGCGCGAGCGUUGUUCGGAAUCACUGGGCGUAAAGCGCGCGCAGGCGGGCCGGUCAAGUCGGAAGUGAAAUCCCGGGGCUCAACUCCGGGACUGCUUCCGAAACUGUCGGCCUGGAGACCGGUAGAGGUGGGUGGAAUUCCCGGUGUAGCGGUGGAAUGCGUAGAGAUCGGGAAGAACACCUGUGGCGAAGGCGGCCCACUGGGCCGGUUCUGACGCUGAGGCGCGAAAGCGUGGGGAGCAAACAGGAUUAGAUACCCUGGUAGUCCACGCCGUAAACGAUGGGCACUAGGUGCCGGGGGGAGCGACCCCUUCGGUGCCGCAGCUAACGCGUUAAGUGCCCCGCCUGGGGAGUACGGCCGCAAGGCUGAA
Molecule: ribosomal RNA, 396 nt
Filed under: uncultured bacterium
Lineage: Bacteria
Description: bacterial SSU rRNA
Rfam family: Bacterial small subunit ribosomal RNA
Source: RNAcentral